GGCUGUAAUGAGCCGUGAUUACACCACUGGACUCCAGCCUGGGUGACAAAGUGAGAUCCUGUCUCCACAAAAAAAAAAAAAAAAAAAAAAAAAAAAAAAAAGAAAGAAAGAAAAGAAAUAUCUUUUUUUUUUUUUUUUUUUGAGACAGAGGAGACGGAGUCUCGCUCUGUCGGCGGGAUCUCGGCUCACUGCAAGCUCCGCCUCCCGGGUUCACGCCAUUCUCCUGCCUCAGCCUCCCGAGUAGCUGGGACUACAGGCGCCCGCCACGACGCCCGGCUAAUUUUUUGUAUUUUUAGUAGAGGCGGGGUUUCACUGUGUUAGCCAGGAUGGUCUCGAUCUCCUGACCUCAUGAUCCGCCCGCCUCUGCCUCCCAAAGUGCUGGGAUUACAGGCGUGAGCCACCGCGCCCGGCCGAAAAGAAAUAUCUUUAAGGCUGUUCACACAGGCCAAAAAGGGCCUAACUGCACUACACUUUUGCAUGAAAAUGUGUAAACCGAAUUUGAUCCCCUACUUUAAAUAAGGCUCUAAAAGAUUUUUUGCUAUUUACAGAAAUCAAACUGACUCUCAAAAGUACAAGGAUUUUCCUACACUGAAGAAAUUUCAAAGAUUCUGCCACAAGCUUCUAAAUCAACUCCAAAUAAAUGUUAAAUUGGUUUGAGCAAUAGGGCAGCAUUACGGAGUGAAUGUGUCAGUUCCCAUGAGGACCACUUUGAUAAGGCUAACACUUAUGUACUGCUGUUUAAUUUUAAUAUUUUAAAUAAAUCUUAAGAGUACCCUUGGCUGGGCGCGGUGGUUCACGCCUGUAAUCCCAGCACUUUGGGAGGCCAAGGCGGGUGGAUCAUGAGGUCAGGAGAUCGAGACCAUCCUGGCUAACAUGGGGAAACCCCGUCUCU
RNAcentral lists this long non-coding RNA (892 nucleotides) under Homo sapiens (human). RNAcentral's name for it is "non-protein coding lnc-SNX33-8:1". Lineage: Eukaryota; Metazoa; Chordata; Mammalia; Primates; Hominidae. The record is from RNAcentral.